This 370-nucleotide ribosomal RNA is filed under the name uncultured bacterium. Its description in RNAcentral is "bacterial SSU rRNA". It matches the Rfam family "Bacterial small subunit ribosomal RNA", at positions 29 to 401 of the family's 1533-position model. The record is from RNAcentral.
AAUGAACGUUGGCGGCGUGGAUUAGGCAUGCAAGUCGAGCGAGAACCCGCAAGGGGGACAGCGGCGAACGGGGUAGGAAUACGUAGGUAACGUACCCUCGGGGCGAGGACAGCCACGGGAAACUGUGGGUAAUACUCGAUAAACUUCCCAAUCAUUAUCGGAGGGAAGCAAUGGGUGUGAUUCCACCUGAGGAGCGGCUUACGCAGUAUCAGCUAGUUGGUGAGGUAACGGCUCACCAAGGCUACGACGCUUAGGGGGUGUGAGAGCAUGGCCCCCACCACUGGCACUGAGACACUGGCCAGACACCUACGGGUGGCUGCAGUCGAGAAUCUUCGGCAAUGGACGCAAGUCUGACCGAGCGACGCCCGCG